CCCCCCGGCUGCGUCUCUCCAAAACGCGUCAAGUUAAUACGCGGUGACGCGCGUCAACAAACCACAAAGCAAAAGGCCCUCCGGUUCGGCUGCUUUGCUUCGGAAAGCUUCAGCCGCUCUGGACUCCACGUUGUCCCCGCGUAAAUGGGUCGAUCUGAGGGCGAUGGCUUGGGACAGGAAGCAGGAUGGAUGGACCGAGGAACGCGCCCACGUAGACUGCAAGAGACGGACGCGUACCGCUGCGGACAGACAGGCCAUUACAGCGUGGAGGACAAACCGUUUUGACUGCGAGUACAGUUGCAUAUUCACUCAAGCGGCUGUCUGCAUCAAAGAAAUAGAGCCAGUACUUAAAACUAUUAUUCUGCCAUUAGUUUUCUGCAGGUCACGGUUGUGGCAUAAUGCAAUAGCACUCAUCUAUUUCAUUCAUUUGAGUUCUUAGAGAGCGACACGCAAUUUAAUUAUCCAUCCUCCUCUCUGGCUGUGCGAGCGGGAGCGAGCGCCUCGCCUCCCCCCUUCCCUCCCAACCCCACUCACUUCUCGUAAAGGAUCGAGGGUGCCGAAACAAUGAUGGAUAGAGUCUGAAAAGUGCAUUAUUUCUGAUGCAUUUUUGAUUAUUUUUACCCUUUCCCUUUUUUUCCUCCAGGUAACGCAAUAAGCCUGAUACGCCCUGAGUUCUGUCAGAGACAUGGAUAUUGCAACAGCUCAGGCAUCGCUUUCUAUCGGCAGGAAAGUCAUUGUUUCUGAAACAAGGGCUUCUCUGUUGUUGUUUUUUAUAGCUCUUUUACUCCUUUUCUUUUUUUUUGUUGCCUCCUGUCUGUCUGUCUUUUUUUUUCCACAGCCUUUGUGGUUUUUGUCUGUCUGUCUGUCUCCAGCUUGGAGACAUUCUCAUUUGGACGGGUGCCUUGGAUGCCCCAAUAGACUGCCACAAUAGUUCCUCAUCGAAACAAUUUCAAGGACCUCUUCAAAGUGAAUGAAUCAAUAGUGCUCAUAUGUGGGGUUAAAGCAGAGGUUACGCUCAUAUUGUUCAACUCCAGACACUCCCUUAGCCCCAACAUGCUAGCCGGAGCCAGUGACCUCUUGUUUGGUUAAUAUAAUUCAUUCUGUAAAUAGAGAAUAUCAAUCCCUCCAAAUAUAACCCCACUUGGCCCUAAACAAAUAAAUAUAUAUUAAAAAAGCGCAGGGCGAACCUGCAGGCUUAAUACUCUUAUGUCUAAACUUGGUUUAUCAAACGAUGCAAAUGUUUCUGAUGUCUGAAAUGUAGGUGCUGCCA
Gasterosteus aculeatus aculeatus (three-spined stickleback) is the source of this 1270-nucleotide long non-coding RNA. NCBI's taxonomy places the organism in Eukaryota, Metazoa, Chordata, Actinopteri, Perciformes, Gasterosteidae. The record is from Ensembl.